GUGAGCGGAAGCAACAGAGUCGAGGGAAAACUCAAGACUGAGAUGGGAUUCGGUGAGAGGAGGGGGUUCUGUGUGAGAGGAGGGCGUUCCGUGAGAGGAGGGGGUUCCGUGAGAGGAGGGGGUUCCGUGAGAGGAGGGGGUUCUGUGAGAGGAGGGGGUUCUGUGUGAGAGGAGGGGGUUCUGUGAGAGGAGGGGGUUCCGUGAGAGGAGGGGGUUCUGUGUGAGAAGAGGGGGUUCUGUGUGAGAGGAGGGGGUUCUGUGUGAGAGGAGGGGGUUCUGUGAGAGGAGGGGACUGUGUGACAGGAGGGGGUUCUCUGAGAGGAGGGGACUGUGUGAGAGGAGGGGGUUCUGUGAGAGGAGGGGGUUCUGUGAGAGGAGGGGGUUCUGUGAGAGAAGGGGACUGUGUGAGAGGAGGGGGUUCCGUGAGAGGAGGGGGUUCUGUGAGAGGAGGGGGUUCCGUGAGAGGAGGGGAUUGUGUGAGGGGGGGGGGUUCUGUGAGAGGAGGGGGUUCCGUGAGAGGAGGGGGUUCCUCCUGGGCUGGGCUUUGCAGGGUAGGAAGAAUCAUGAUGGAAAUACUAGGGCUUUCUAGGCAGAGGGACUGGGUUGAGCCAAAACUGGCAGGAGAGAAGGCAGAAGGGAGUUCCUGCGAGCAGCCAAUAGCCUAGGCUGGCCUGGGAAAGACUGGGAAUCUGGCGGAUGACAUGGAAAGAUGCACAGAUCUUUGUGAAACAAAGCGAUUAUAUAUAGACAGCACAUACAAAGGAUCUUGUGACUGCAAAGCCGUAGACGCAGGGGGGUGGCGCGGGCUGGAGGCAGCUCGGCAUAGGUUGAAAGCUCAUGUGGCACAGCCGAGUGACUUUCCCUUUCUUCCUAGUGCUUUUCUGUAGAUUUGCCUUCAGUCAACAAGUAUCAACUGAGUCCACACACCAGGCACGGUGCCAAACACGUUCA
This 951-nucleotide long non-coding RNA is filed under the name Homo sapiens (human). RNAcentral's name for it is "HSALNT0384302". The record is from RNAcentral. Lineage: Eukaryota; Metazoa; Chordata; Mammalia; Primates; Hominidae.